CACUGUUCAACUUUUGCUCAGAGUCUGCUUAAUUAAAUUGGUGUAUAAAUUAAUUUAUAUUUUUUUUUGCAAUUGAGCAGUUUUUAGAGAGAGAGAGAGAGAGAGAACAAGCUUACAACUAUCAACAACAACCACUGGCUUUUGUUAACGCACAUUGUUCAUUUUGCCUCAGAGCUUUUAAAAACUAUUGAAAACAAAAAGAAAAUAGACUUUUAUAAUGCGUGUAUAUUUGUUUAAUCUGUGCUAUGAAUGAGUCUAAUGUCAAUAUUUCCAUCAGGAUAAACGGCUGUGAAUACUUUGUGUAUAAGCAUGUGUAUUGACAAGUUCAAAAAUACUUUUAUAAGAAUAUUUAUUUACUUUAGGACGAAUGUAUUCAGGAACAUAUUGAACAG
Long non-coding RNA from Copidosoma floridanum, 392 nucleotides. The record is from RefSeq and is a predicted model, not a curated record. NCBI's taxonomy places the organism in Eukaryota, Metazoa, Arthropoda, Insecta, Hymenoptera, Encyrtidae.